UACGUAGGGUGCAAGCGUUAAUCGGAAUUACUGGGCGUAAAGCGUGCGCAGGCGGUUAGGCGAGACAGCUGUGAAAUCCCCGGGCUCAACCUGGGAACUGCAGUUGUGACUGCAUAGCUGGAGUGCGGCAGAGGGGGAUGGAAUUCCGCGUGUAGCAGUGAAAUGCGUAGAUAUGCGGAGGAACACCGAUGGCGAAAGCGGGUCUCUGGGCAUUUCCUGACGCUGAGGCGCGAAAGCGUGGGGAGCAAACGGG
Molecule: ribosomal RNA, 253 nt
Filed under: uncultured bacterium
Lineage: Bacteria
Description: partial 16S ribosomal RNA
Rfam family: Bacterial small subunit ribosomal RNA
Source: RNAcentral